UGGUAAUGACUGGAUUCUGGCACUUUAUGGUUAUAGAAACCACUUUUAUAUAUUUUGAUUUCCUCCCCUAAUGCUUAAUUAUCUCCUUGUGGACAUUAUGAUAGAAUGUCAUUGAAGGUAUUAAAAAUGUAAUUAAUUGCUUAACAGUUAUAUCUUGUGAAAACAAUGUGGAAAUCUUUUUACAUUUUUAAUUUUUGGUUCAAACAAACCUAACUAAUCAAAGAGCAGCCACAAAAAUCUUCAAAAUGCUAAUUAGACACAAUAAUGUACAGCUACCAAUUACAGAUUUUAGUGUUUUUGUAUUCCACAGCAACAAACUGCCAAGUCUUAAAAAAAAAGUCAACUAAAGCAUUCUGUUGUUCCCUGAGCUCUACUGUAUAUUCUACUGGAAGAUUUUAAGCUCUGUCAUGGACAUAUGACUAGAAUCACAAAUUUUUUAAAAAGUGUUCAGACAAGGCAAAUAUCUAACUAUGAGCUAUAGAAGUUAAAUAUAUUGAGUAUGUCAGUGUUUGCAUUUUAUUUUUGGAUGGUAUAGAAUUUUAUUAGUUUUCUAUAAUAAUCAUUGCUUAUACUGGCUUACAGUGAUUUACUGUAUUAACAUUAGCUUUUUAUACAGAUCUGAGAUUGUAUCUAAUAAGAUGACUAGAGUCAUGACCAUUUAGUUAAACUAAAAAAUGAAUAGAUUUUUAAAAAAUUAAUUUCAAUGGUCUUUUAUGUUAUAGAGUGAUGGAGUCUAACAAAAUUUUAAAAUCUUGUCACAAAAAAGGAUACAGAAAAGAUUUUGCAUAAUGUUUUAUUAUUAUCCUCUCUAUGAUCUUUUCGCUUAUCAUUUCAGAUAAGACCAGAAAUUCCCAUUCCUGAAGAAUUAGAUGACGAUGAAGAUGUUGAGGAUGUGGAUCUUUCAGUUCCUGGCUCUUGCUAUCUCAAACUGUUGUCACUCACUCCCCCUUUGGUUUUACCAGGUGACUCCUAUUUGGUAGUAGAGAAGCUAGCAUUUUUUAGUGGUUCGAUUUGUCUGAUUGUAUUCUUUUGUGAUAGGUACAUACUAUAGUUUAACCUUAUGUGCUUAUUUUUUAACCAGAAUGUUAAAUGCACCCAUCUGUUCUAUCAAAACAGCUUGAGGUAGUAUGGUGUUUAAAUCAUAUGAAAAAACGUUACAUCUGAGUAGGAUUGAAUAAGAAAACUAGUGUAAACAAUUGUAUUCACUGAUAAUUAAAAUUCAUUUAAAAGGCUAAAUGUAUUCCACAAGAUGAAUUUGCACUGGUACUCUAGGUCAUUGAUUUAAACAAUACUUCUUUCUUACAUAAGCCAAGUGAAAAGAUCAUUAGAUUAUUCAGAGAUUUACUGAGUAGUUUCAUUAUUAUACAUUUAUUCUUUCUAUAGAGUUAUGCCAAAGAUGUUACUGAUAUUUAUUUCAGAGCUAUAAAUUAAUGCUUUUAAACGAUGGAUCAAAUUGUAUGGUCAUUCAGCUUUGAUGUAAAGCUUAUAGGGCCUUUAUCUUUUAAAAAGUAGGCUGGGUAUGAUGGCUCACCCCUGUAAUCCCAACACUUUGGGAGGCUGAGAGAGGCAGAUUGCUUGAGGUCAGGAGUUAAAUACAAAAUUAGCCUGGUGUGGUGGUGCAUGCUGUAGUUCCAGCUAUUUGGGUGGCUGAGGCACAAGAAUCACUUGAAGCUGGGAGGUGGAGGUUGCAGGGAGCUGGGAUCAUGCCACUGCAUUCCAGCCUAGGUGACAGCCUAGGUGACAGCCUAGGUGUCUCAAAAAAAAAAAAAAGUAUUCUAAUGCUUAUAUGUGGUAAUUAUUCUAUAUGUAUAUUGUGUUUAGAAGUACUCACUUGCCCCUAUUACUAUAUGCCCUACCCAAGAAAUGGUAGACGAUACCAUUUGAAAAAUACGUUUGAUUGUGGACUGUGAUUAGGAACUUACAUUAUUUUAUUUUGAAUGUUAUUUUCUGAUCAUUAAAAAGUUAUUUAC
This 1970-nucleotide small RNA is filed under the name Pan troglodytes (chimpanzee). Its description in RNAcentral is "processed transcript". Lineage: Eukaryota; Metazoa; Chordata; Mammalia; Primates; Hominidae. The record is from RNAcentral.